AUUGUUGUGGCCGAGCGGUUAAGGCGAUGGACUUGAAAUCCAUCGGGGUUGCCCUUCGCAGGUUCGAGUCCUGCCGACAACG
Molecule: non-coding RNA, 82 nt
Organism: Syngnathus acus (greater pipefish)
Lineage: Eukaryota; Metazoa; Chordata; Actinopteri; Syngnathiformes; Syngnathidae
Source: the annotation of a RefSeq genome assembly